CCUAUAGUUGUUGAUUUCUGUGUCAUUUUGGUCUCUUGUGGAGAGUUUUCUCAUUGACAAUGAUACCACAUCUUUUUUUUAUAAAUAAAAAAUCAUGUACAUGUAUAAAUUUAAGACAAUGUGUGACAUUUUUGUCUCGAUUGUGUCUUUGUCCAAUGAUUUCCCCUUCUCCUGGACUUACUCUUGGUUUGUCUACUAUUCAUUGGUUGUCCAUCUAAUCCUUACAGUGCCAGUUGGAUUUGACCAUAUUGGAGUCAGACAACAUCAGAUAUACAGAAUAACAAAUAUAGUCCCUAGUGUUGACAGUGGGUUACUUGCCAUUUAAGGAAUAACAGUACUGUAGUUGAAGAGUUGCCACCGUCAAUUGUAGAUUUGACGGUCGCAAAUGCAGUUUUACUGGCGACGCGUAGUGGAGACAGUAAAACAGAGAUUUGCGACCGUCAAAUCA
RNAcentral lists this long non-coding RNA (448 nucleotides) under Mytilus galloprovincialis (Mediterranean mussel). The record is from RNAcentral. Lineage: Eukaryota; Metazoa; Mollusca; Bivalvia; Mytilida; Mytilidae.